Molecule: ribosomal RNA, 254 nt
Filed under: uncultured bacterium
Lineage: Bacteria
Also listed under: 2 other names
Description: partial 16S ribosomal RNA
Rfam family: Archaeal small subunit ribosomal RNA
Source: RNAcentral
CACCGGCAGCCCAAGUGGUGGCCAUUUUUAUUGGGCCUAAAGCGUUCGUAGCCGGCCUGAUAAGUCUCUGGUGAAAUCCCGCAGCUUAACUGUGGGAAUUGCUGGAGAUACUAUCAGGCUUGAGGUCGGGAGAGGUUAGAGGUACUCCCAGGGUAGGGGUGAAAUCCUAUAAUCCUGGGAGGACCACCUGUGGCGAAGGCGUCUAACUGGAACGAACCUGACGGUGAGUAACGAAAGCCAGGGGCGCGAACCGG